UCAAGCUAAUAAGGGCUAACGGUGGAUACCUAGGCACGCAGAGGCGACGAAGGACGUGGUUACCGACGAUAUGCUCCGGGGAGUUGGAAGCAAACAUAGAGCCGGAGAUUUCCGAAUGGGGCAACCCUAUAUACUACCUGUUGAAUAUAUAGACAGGAGAGAGCCAACCCAGCGAACUGAAACAUCUUAGUAGCUGGAGGAAGAGAAAUCAAUAGAGAUUCCCUAAGUAGUGGUGAGCGAACGGGGAAGAGCCUAAACCAGUCGGAUUUCCGAUUGGGGUAGUGGGACAGCAAUAUCGAAUCCAAAGGUUAGACGAAGCAGCGAAAUACUGCACCAGAGAAGGUGAAAGUCCUGUAAUUGAAAACUGUAUGGAUAGUAGCUGUAUCCCGAGUAGCAUGGGGCACGAGGAAUCCCAUGUGAAUCAGCGAGGACCAUCUCGUAAGGCUAAAUACUACUGUGUGACCGAUAGUGAACCAGUACCGCGAGGGAAAGGUGAAAAGAACCCCUAACAGGGGAGUGAAAUAGAACAUGAAACCGUUAGCUUACAAGCAGUGGGAGGACGAUUCAACGUCUGACCGCGUGCCUGUUGAAGAAUGAGCCGGCGACUUAUAGGCACUGGUAGGUUAAGGCAAGAAUGCCGCAGCCAUAGGGAAACCGAGUCUGAAAAGGGCGAUUAAAUCAGUGUUUAUAGACCCGAACCCUGGUGAUCUAACCAUGUCCAGGAUGAAGCUUGGGUAACACCAAGUGGAGGUCCGCACCGACCGAUGUUGAAAAAUCGGCGGAUGAGGUGUGGUUAGGGGUGAAAUGCCAAUCGAACCAGGAGCUAGCUGGUUCUCCCCGAAAUGUGUUUAGGCGCAGCGGUAAUGAUUAUAGUCUGGGGGUAAAGCACUGUUUCGGUGCGGGCUGGGAGACCGGUACCAAAUCGAGACAAACUCUGAAUACCAGAUGCACACAUUGCCAGACAGACAGUGGGGGAUAAGCUUCAUUGUCAAGAGGGAAACAGCCCAGACCACCAGCUAAGGUCCCCAAAUCAUCGCUAAGUGAUAAAGGAGGUGAGAGUGCAUAGACAACUAGGAGGUUUGCCUAGAAGCAGCCACCCUUGAAAGAGUGCGUAAUAGCUCACUAGUCAAGCGCUCUCGCGCCGAAAAUGAACGGGGCUAAGCGAUGUACCGAAGCUGUGGGAUAUAUCUAUCGAUGUAUCGGUAGGGGAGCGUUCCGUAUUAGGUAGAAGCACUAGCGGCGAGCAGGUGUGGACGAAACGGAAGUGAGAAUGUCGGCUUGAGUAGCGCAAACAUUGGUGAGAAUCCAAUGCCCCGAAACCCUAAGGGUUCCAGAGCCAGGUUCGUCCCCUCUGGGUUAGUCAGGUCCUAAGGCGAGGUCGAACGGCGUAGUCGAUGGACAACGGGUGAAUAAUCCCGUACUCAAUUGAAUUUGUGCAGAGGGACGGAGGAGGCAAAUGUCAGCCGGAUGUUGGUUACCGGUUCAAGCGUCAAGGUGAUGAGAGUCGGUGAAAACGAUUCGAGCCAAGACGGGAGUACGACCCGAUACGUCGGGGAAGUGGCAUAGUCUGACUUCCAAGAAAAGCUCUAAACACGUUAAGUUCAGUUGACCUGUACCCGAAACCGACACAGGUAGGGUGGUUGAGAAUACUAAGGGGCGCGAGAUAACUCUCUCUAAGGAACUCGGCAAAAUGGCCCCGUAACUUCGGAAGAAGGGGUGCCCACCGUAACAAGUGGGUCGCAGUGAAGAGAUCCAGGCGACUGUUUACCAAAAACACAGGUCUCCGCAAACUCGAAAGAGAAAGUAUGGGGGCUGACGCCUGCCCAGUGCCGGAAGGUUAAGGAAGUCGGUCAGGGGGAAACCCUAAAGCUGGCGACUGAAGCCCCGGUGAACGGCGGCCGUAACUAUAACGGUCCUAAGGUAGCGAAAUUCCUUGUCGGGUAAGUUCCGACCCGCACGAAAGGCGUAACGAUCUGGAUGGUGUCUCAGAGAGAGACUCGGCGAAAUAGGAAUGUCUGUGAAGAUACGGACUGCCUGCACCUGGACAGAAAGACCCUAUGAAGCUUUACUGUAGCCUGGAAUUGUGUCCGGGCUUCGCUUGCGCAGGAUAGGUGGGAGGCGUUGAAAGUGCCCUUGUGGGGGUACUCGAGCCAACGGUGAGAUACCACUCUGGCGAAGCUAGGAUUCUAACUCACUUCCGUAAUCCGGAAGGGGAACAGUUUCAGGUGGGCAGUUUGACUGGGGCGGUCGCCUCCUAAAAGGUAACGGAGGCG
Molecule: ribosomal RNA, 2273 nt
Filed under: Lucernaria quadricornis
Lineage: Eukaryota; Metazoa; Cnidaria; Staurozoa; Stauromedusae; Lucernariidae
Description: bacterial LSU rRNA
Rfam family: Bacterial large subunit ribosomal RNA
Source: RNAcentral